Molecule: ribosomal RNA, 1191 nt
Filed under: Yersinia enterocolitica
Lineage: Bacteria; Pseudomonadati; Pseudomonadota; Gammaproteobacteria; Enterobacterales; Yersiniaceae
Description: partial 23S ribosomal RNA
Rfam family: Bacterial large subunit ribosomal RNA
Source: RNAcentral
UAUCAACGCUGAGGUGUGAUGACGAGCCACUACGGUGGUGAAGUAGUUGAUGCCAAGCUUCCAGGAAAAGCCUCUAAGCAUCAGGUAACAUUAAAUCGUACCCCAAACCGACACAGGUGGUCAGGUAGAGAAUACUCAGGCGCUUGAGAGAACUCGGGUGAAGGAACUAGGCAAAAUGGUGCCGUAACUUCGGGAGAAGGCACGCUGGCAUUAGGUAAAGAGACUUGCUCUCGGCGCCGAAGCCAGUCGCAGAUACCAGCUGGCUGCAACUGUUUAAUAAAAACACAGCACUGUGCAAACACGAAAGUGGACGUAUACGGUGUGACGCCUGCCCGGUGCUGGAAGGUUAAUUGAUGGGGUCAGCCGCAAGGCGAAGCUCUUGAUCGAAGCCCCAGUAAACGGCGGCCGUAACUAUAACGGUCCUAAGGUAGCGAAAUUCCUUGUCGGGUAAGUUCCGACCUGCACGAAUGGCGUAAUGAUGGCCAGGCUGUCUCCACCCGAGACUCAGUGAAAUUGAACUCGCUGUGAAGAUGCAGUGUACCCGCGGCAAGACGGAAAGACCCCGUGAACCUUUACUAUAGCUUGACACUGAACAUUGAGCCUUGAUGUGUAGGAUAGGUGGGAGGCAUUGAAGUGUGGACGCCAGUCUGCAUGGAGCCAACCUUGAAAUACCACCCUUUAAUGUUUGAUGUUCUAACUCGGCCCCAUAAUCUGGGGUGAGGACAGUGUCUGGUGGGUAGUUUGACUGGGGCGGUCUCCUCCCAAAGAGUAACGGAGGAGCACGAAGGUUAGCUAAUCACGGUCGGACAUCGUGAGGUUAGUGCAAAGGCAUAAGCUAGCUUGACUGCGAGAGUGACGGCUCGAGCAGGUACGAAAGUAGGUCUUAGUGAUCCGGUGGUUCUGAAUGGAAGGGCCAUCGCUCAACGGAUAAAAGGUACUCCGGGGAUAACAGGCUGAUACCGCCCAAGAGUUCAUAUCGACGGCGGUGUUUGGCACCUCGAUGUCGGCUCAUCACAUCCUGGGGCUGAAGUAGGUCCCAAGGGUAUGGCUGUUCGCCAUUUAAAGUGGUACGCGAGCUGGGUUUAGAACGUCGUGAGACAGUUCGGUCCCUAUCUGCCGUGGGCGUUGGAAGAUUGAGAGGGGCUGCUCCUAGUACGAGAGGACCGGAGUGGACGAAUCACUGGUGUUCGG